Molecule: ribosomal RNA, 279 nt
Filed under: uncultured bacterium
Lineage: Bacteria
Description: partial 16S ribosomal RNA
Rfam family: Bacterial small subunit ribosomal RNA
Source: RNAcentral
UACGAAGGGGGCUAGCGUUGCUCGGAAUCACUGGGCGUAAAGGGUGCGUAGGCGGAUAUUUAAGUCAGGGGUGAAAUCCCGGGGCUCAACCCCGGAACUGCCUUUGAUACUGGGUAUCUUGAGUUCGGAAGAGGUGAGUGGAAUUGCGAGUGUAGAGGUGAAAUUCGUAGAUAUUCGCAGGAACACCAGUGGCGAAGGCGGCUCACUGGUCCGAUACUGACGCUGAGGUGCGAAAGCGUGGGGAGCAAACAGGAGUUAGAAACCCCGGUAAGUACCCAG